GGUGAGAUGGCCGAGAGGUUAAAGGCGCUCCCCUGCUAAGGGAGUAUGUAAAAAAUUUUGCAUCGAGGGUUCGAAUCCCUCUCUCACCG
RNAcentral lists this transfer RNA (89 nucleotides) under Buchnera aphidicola (Lipaphis pseudobrassicae). Its description in RNAcentral is "tRNA-Ser". It matches the Rfam family "tRNA". From Rfam's summary of the family: Transfer RNA (tRNA) molecules are approximately 80 nucleotides in length. Their secondary structure includes four short double-helical elements and three loops (D, anti-codon, and T loops). The record is from RNAcentral. Lineage: Bacteria; Pseudomonadati; Pseudomonadota; Gammaproteobacteria; Enterobacterales; Erwiniaceae.